AACGAACGCUGGCGGCAGGCCUAACACAUGCAAGUCGAGCGAGGACUUCGGUUCUAGCGGCGGACGGGUGAGUAACGCGUGGGAAUGUGCCCUUCUCUACGGAAUAGCCCUGGGAAACUGGGAGUAAUACCGUAUACGCCCUAUUGGGGAAAGAUUUAUCGGAGAAGGAUCAGCCCGCGUUGGAUUAGGUAGUUGGUGGGGUAAUGGCCUACCAAGCCGACGAUCCAUAGCUGGUUUGAGAGGAUGAUCAGCCACACUGGGACUGAGACACGGCCCAGACUCCUACGGGAGGCAGCAGUGGGGAAUCUUAGACAAUGGGGGCAACCCUGAUCUAGCCAUGCCGCGUGAGUGAUGAAGGCCUUAGGGUUGUAAAGCUCUUUCAGCUGGGAAGAUAAUGACGGUACCAGCAGAAGAAGCCCCGGCUAACUCAGU
This 432-nucleotide ribosomal RNA is filed under the name uncultured bacterium. RNAcentral's name for it is "partial 16S ribosomal RNA". It matches the Rfam family "Bacterial small subunit ribosomal RNA", at positions 29 to 506 of the family's 1533-position model. The record is from RNAcentral.